UGGCUCAGUGGUAGAGCGCUUGCCUUGCAUGCAUGAGGCUCUGGGUUCGAUUCCUUA
Molecule: transfer RNA, 57 nt
Filed under: Dipodomys ordii (Ord's kangaroo rat)
Lineage: Eukaryota; Metazoa; Chordata; Mammalia; Rodentia; Heteromyidae
Rfam family: tRNA
About the family: Transfer RNA (tRNA) molecules are approximately 80 nucleotides in length. Their secondary structure includes four short double-helical elements and three loops (D, anti-codon, and T loops).
Source: Rfam by way of RNAcentral